AAAGCGGCCCUGGCAUUCAGUUGUCGGGGUCGGGCUUCUAAACGUUUACUGUGAAAAAAUCAGAGUGUUCAAAGCAGGCUUACGCCUUGAAUACAUUAGCAUGGAAUAAUGAGAUAAGACUUUGGCGGUCUAUUUUGUUGGUUUGCACGCCGAAGUAAUGAUUAACAGGGACGGUUGGGGUUCUUCGUAUUCAAUUGUCAGAGGUGAAAUUCUUGGAUUUAUGGAAGACGAACUGCUGCGAAAGCGUCGAACAAGGACGUUCUCAUUAAUCAAGAACGAAAGUUAGGGGAUC
RNAcentral lists this ribosomal RNA (292 nucleotides) under Pelagophyceae sp. RCC5292. RNAcentral describes it as "partial small subunit ribosomal RNA". It matches the Rfam family "Eukaryotic small subunit ribosomal RNA", at positions 707 to 999 of the family's 1831-position model. The record is from RNAcentral. Lineage: Eukaryota; Pelagophyceae.